UACGGAGGGUGCGAGCGUUGUCCGGAAUCACUGGGCGUAAAGGGCGCGUAGGUGGCGCGGGAAGUCUUCGGUGAAAGCUCAGGGCUCAACCCUGAGUCGGCCGGCGAUACUCCCGUGCUCGAGCUCACUAGAGGCAGAUGGAAUUCCGGGUGUAGCGGUGGAAUGCGUAGAGAUCCGGAAGAACACCGGUGGCGAAGGCGGUCUGCUGGGGUGAUGCUGACACUGAUGCGCGACAGCGUGGGGAGCAAACAGG
Molecule: ribosomal RNA, 253 nt
Filed under: uncultured bacterium
Lineage: Bacteria
Also listed under: 1 other name
Description: partial 16S ribosomal RNA
Rfam family: Bacterial small subunit ribosomal RNA
Source: RNAcentral